Morus notabilis is the source of this 517-nucleotide long non-coding RNA. RefSeq lists it as uncharacterized. The record is from RefSeq and is a predicted model, not a curated record. The transcript has 5 exons. NCBI's taxonomy places the organism in Eukaryota, Viridiplantae, Streptophyta, Magnoliopsida, Rosales, Moraceae.
GCUUUAACUAAUUUGGUUUUGUCAAUACUCCGACAACACCAUUAGCAUUUUCUUUCUUGCUGCCCUAAAUCUUGCAGCUGAGCGAUUUCCCCUCAUUCUCCCUGCAUUCUUGAGCCCUAGAUAUUAGCGCUGAUCGGUUUCUCCUCAUUCUUUCCCCUCUCUAGGCGCAUUCUUGAGUUUCCUUUGCUUGGUGUGUUUCUGAUUUCUCCUAGUCCAAGAAGUAAUGGAUCGUCUGUUUCAAUCUCCAAUGCUAGGCCGGAUCAUAGACCUUUUGGUAUUGCAAGUUACUGACCUCCAGCUAGCUAGUGACAAAACAAACCUUCUAUUGAGCAUUGGUGUGGGAGUUGGAGUUAUGUUGCUCGUUCUUUCGCUUGUUUUGGGAGACUCUAGGAGCGGUGCGGGAUAACGAAAGAUUGCUACUGUUGGAUCAAGAGAGGAUUGAGUUCAUCCUCUUGAAUAAAUGUAAGGAAUUUGAGAAUUCUGUAAACUUAUGUAAUAUUUGGAUUUACUAGACUGU